RNAcentral lists this ribosomal RNA (253 nucleotides) under uncultured bacterium. Its description in RNAcentral is "partial 16S ribosomal RNA". It matches the Rfam family "Bacterial small subunit ribosomal RNA", at positions 524 to 776 of the family's 1533-position model. The record is from RNAcentral.
GACAGAGGCCUCGAGCGUUAGGCGGAAUCACUGGGCUUAAAGCGUGUGUAGGCGGGCCCGUAAGUGUCUUGUGAAAUCCCCGGGCUCAACCCGGGAACUGCGUCCGAUACUGGAAGGCUUGAAUCCGGGAGAGGGAUGUGGAAUUCCAGGUGUAGCGGUGAAAUGCGUAGAUAUCUGGAGGAACACCGGUGGCGAAGGCGACAUCCUGGACCGGUAUUGACGCUGAGGCGCGAAAGCCAGGGGAGCAAACGGG